This 107-nucleotide small nucleolar RNA is filed under the name Gossypium barbadense (sea-island cotton). Its description in RNAcentral is "Plant small nucleolar RNA R71". It matches the Rfam family "Plant small nucleolar RNA R71". From Rfam's summary of the family: R71 is a member of the C/D box family of snoRNAs containing the C (UGAUGA) and D (CUGA) box motifs. Multiple nearly identical copies of this snoRNA have been identified in Arabidopsis, and it is thought to function as a 2'-O-ribose methylation guide for 18S ribosomal RNA. RNAcentral also lists the same sequence under 1 other name. The record is from Rfam by way of RNAcentral. Lineage: Eukaryota; Viridiplantae; Streptophyta; Magnoliopsida; Malvales; Malvaceae.
AACUCAUGGUGAGGGAACCUUCUCAGUAGGUCCUUGUAUCUCUCCCAUGCAUCGUAAAGUGUUUCUAAAUUCAUCUACACAAAAGAAGAGAUAUCAUUACGCAAUUU